CCCGCUGCCUCUGGAAGAGAAUAGAUCUUUUGCACCAGCCCCCACUGAGGGUAGAGGGAAAGGCCUCAUGAGAAAUCAAAAGAGAGAGAGUAAAACGGACAUGAAAGAGGAAGAUGAUGAGAGUGAAGAGAGUAAUGAGGCUAAGGACCAGACGAAAGAGCAGAAGGCAGAGGAAAGAAAAAAUGAGCAGGAGAAAGAGCAAGAGGAAAAUGAAGAGAAAGAGGAGGAGAAGACAGAGAGCCAGGGGUCAAAGCCAGCCUGUGAGACUCAGCUUCCAUCUCUUCCCUACCUUAGUGUUCUUUCAGGUGCUGACCCAGAGCUGGGUUCUCAGCUCCAGGAGGCAGCUGCUUCUGGCACUAACGAUAUUGAAGCGUCUUGUGGGAACCCUCCUAUCAGCCACAGGGAAGCUGGUCAGAGCCAGACCUCGUGCCUGGGGAAUGGGGAUCAUGGGUGCUGGCAUUGUGGGUAGGGUGCCUUUGCCUCCCUCUCACAGGCCUGCGUGUGUUACUGACCAAUGUGGAGCUGGGUCUAGGGUGCGAAGAACUGCAAUGGCUGCUGCAGCGGGAGCAGCUGAGUCCACCCCAGGUGCAGCCUGGCUUCUGUCUGUAUCUCAGCACCACCCUCUCCCUCUGUGCCAUGGAAAAAGCGCUAGGUUGUGAACUGCUAAAGGGGCUGAAUGUGUUGGAUCUGGGCCUGAACAUGGAAAUACUGGAAGAACAGAUGCUGCAUGAAAUCUUGUGCAGAGAGUAUCCUGACCUCGAGACCCGCUGGCAGGACCUAAAGAUCAGAGCCCUAGAUACCUGCAAGGCUGUGGAGGCUGCUGAGGAGCGGCUGCUGACGAUGCUGCUGUUCCAGAAUCCGAAGCGUCAGAAGCCAGCCAAGUUUCUGCGGAACAUAGUGAGGGCCCAGGGAAAGCUAUGCCAGCUGCGUGCUCAUUGUGAAGAGUUAGAAGGGCAGAAACUACAGGAGAUGGUAUCGUGGGCACCCUAUCGACCUGUGGUUUGGCAUGGAAUGGCCAUGGUAAAGGCCCUAAGCCAACUGCAGAACCUGCUGCCACUUUUCUGUAUGAGCCCAGAGAACUGGCUGGCAGUCACCAAGCAGGCUCUGGACAGCAUGAAGCCACGUGAGAUUAAUCACGGGGAGGACCUGGCCAGCCAUCUACUGCAAUUGAGAGCACACCUGACCCGCCAGCUACUGGGCAGCACCGUGACUGCACUGGGCCUUACCCAAGUACCCUUGGUGGGUGCAUUGGGCGCUUUGGCUCUGCUGCAAGCAACAGGAAAAGCAUCAGAGCUGGAAAGACUGGCACUCUGGCCUGGACUAGCAGCCUCUCCCAGCACAGUCCACAGCAAGCCAGUCUCAGAUGUGGCUCGACCGGCCUGGCUUGGGCCAAAAGCCUGGCAUGAAUGUGAGAUGUUAGAGCUGCUGCCCCCAUUUGUUGGCCUGUGUGCCUCCCUGGCAGGCCACUCCAGUGCUUGGCAGGCUUACCUGUCACUGUCAUCCACAGUGCUGGGUCCUGCACCUGGGCCAGGGCCUGAGCCACUCAGCCUCCUCCAGAAGCUGAUCCUGUGGCGCGUUCUGCGACCUGAGUGCCUGGCAGGUGCCCUGGCAGACUUCACCACUAGCCUCCUGGGUCGGCCCCUGGAUGAAAACAUGUAUGCUCCCACCAUGCCCUUUAAACAUAGUCAGGCUACUCAGCCCAUGCUGAUCUUGUUGCCACCGCCUGGCCACCCCUCAGCCACUCUGCAUCCUCUGACUGUCAUCCAGAAACUGGCUGCCAAGUAUCAGCAGGGGCAGAAGCAACUGCAGGUGAUAGCCCUGGGCUCUGAAGCCUGGGACCCAGUCUCAGUUGUGGUCAGCACUCUAUCCCAGGCUAUGUAUGAGGGGCACUGGCUGGUGCUGGACAACUGUCAUCUGAUGCCCCAUUGGCCGAAAGAGCUGCUACAGCUCUUGCUGGAACUGUUAGGCAGAGCCAAGGUGGUUGCAGACCUGGAAUCAGAACAGCUUUUAGACCAACCUGAAAGCAGGAAUGUAAGCACUGUUCACAGAGAUUUUCGUCUUUGGCUUAUUGUGCCUGCAGAGUCUAGUGCUUCUUUGCCAGCUGUGCUGACUCAGCACUCCAUGCCUGUUUUCUGGAACCAGUCCCUGGAGCUGGGCCAUGUUUUGAUUGACAGUGUGGAGCUAGCCCAGCAAGUACUCUACAUGCAACCCCCCACCCAGGCACUACCUCUGCUCCUCCUCCAUGGCCUCCUGCUACACCGGCAGCUCUAUGGAACAAGGCUGCAGGCGCACAGGGGGCGCUGGAGUCAAGUGACUCUAACCCAGGUUCUUCAGACCCAAGAUCAGCUGUGGGCAAGUCUUAGCAAUCCCCGUGCUGCCAUGCAAGAGCUGGCUGGUGAGACCCUUCCUCUCCCCCUUGGAGUCAUCAGCCCCCAGGAGAGCCUAGAAGAGGGUGGGGGUGGGAUAUAAUUCACAGCUUUGGUUUUGGCGGUGGUGGAAACUGAAGGUACUGGAACUGAGAGACUCUAACCUCAUCUUCAGCUUCAGUUUUCUACGGGGGUCCUCUGGGGGACACUGAGGACAGGGAGGCCCUGAUUAGCCUCACACAAGCCUGCCUGAGCCCCAGUAGCGGGAGCUGGGUCCAGCCACACACACCUCAGUCUUUGCUGGCCACGCUCAUGCCCCUCCCAGGUAAGCCUCACUCAGGUAUCUGUUUUGGGGUAGGGAAUAGUGCAAUGCAAUGCCACCCCCCACAGAAAUGUGGACAGCAGUCUCAAUAAAGGUAUAUGAGGGGGUAAUAUUCAUACUGUUAUGGGGGUGAUGGCAGUAAAGGAUCAGAGGAAGGCCUACUCUCUCGAGUCUAGGGUGGGGAGAGUCCAUCUUAUCCCUCACCCCUCACCUCUAUCCCCAAGAGCUAAGGGAGCUGGAUGCAAUGGCAGAGUGCAAGGCCCAGAUGCACCUACUGCCCUCACCACCUGAACCCCGGCUCUGCGGACUGAGUGAGGGCCCCCAAGCCUGGCUGUUGCGACGCCAGAGUCGCGCUCUCUUGAGUGCGCUGCAGCGGAGUUCACCCGUGUGGGUUCCUGAGUCUCGAAGAGGCGCCCAGCUUGCGGAAAGGCGACUGCGGCAACGCCUAGUGCAAGUCAACCGGAGGCUGGAGUCACUGCACGAUCUGCUGACCCACGUGAUUCGCCAAGACGAGUCUGGCGCCCCGUGGUCAGUGCUGGGGCCAAAUGCACGGCGGCCUCUGGAGGGCGUCUUAGAGACCGAGGCUCUAGAACUGAGCCAGUUGGUGGGCACGCUACAAGGCGACCUUGAUUGCCUGUUGCAGCAGCUGAAGGGCGCACCCCCGUGCCCCUCCCGCCGCUGUGCUGCGGUGGCCCACGCUCUCUGGACUGGCCGCCUACCCUUGCCUUGGCGACCUCAUGCGCCGGCCGGUCCGCAGCCGCCCUGGCACUGGCUGCGACAGUUGUCGCGCCGUGGGCAACUGUUGGUUCGUUACUUGGGCGUGGGCGCGGACGCGAGCAGUGAUGUACCAGAGCGCGUCUUCCACCUGUCAGCCUUUCGCCACCCGCGCCGCCUGCUGCUGGCAUUGCGUGGGGAAGCUGCCCUGGACCAGAAUGUGCCCAGCUCGAAUUUCCCUGGUAGCCGAGGCUCGGUCUCCAGUCAGCUCCAGUAUAAACGUCUGGAGAUGAACAGCAACCCUCUGCACUUCAGGGUAUCUUCGCGCCGCCCCUCGUUCGCGGUUCCAGUCCCCUCGAAGUCUCUAAUUACACCUCGCAGUUACCCCUUCUUGGUGAUCUUGCCCCUCGGAAACCCUGCUAGCUUCUCCGAUCUCGCUCCACCACGACCUCCUACCCGCUAACCCCCACUUCCCACCUGCCACCUCCCAGCUUCCUAGCCUUGCCUGACCAGCUUCUGACGCCCCCAGGUGGAGAAUGGUCCAAACCCCACGGUUCCAGAGAGAGGGCUGCUGCUGAUCGGGCUACAGGUCCUACAUGCGGAGUGGGACCCAAUAGCUGGAGCCUUGCAGGACAGUCCUUCCAGCCAACCCAGCCCUCUGCCUCCCGUCAGCAUCAGCACACAGGCCCCGGGCACCAGUGACCUGCCAGCCCCAGCCGACCUGACUGUGUACUCGUGUCCUGUGUACAUGGGAGGGCCCCUUGGCACCGCUAAGCUGCAGAGCAGGAACAUCGUGAUGCAUCUGCCCUUACCCACCAAGCUCACCCCCAACACCUGUGUCCAAAGGAGGGUCCAUGUGUGCAGCCCACCCCUGUCUUGAGCCCGUCUACCAAAAUAAAGUUGUAGUGAUUCCAUGAAAGA
RNAcentral lists this small RNA (4323 nucleotides) under Pan troglodytes (chimpanzee). Its description in RNAcentral is "retained intron". Lineage: Eukaryota; Metazoa; Chordata; Mammalia; Primates; Hominidae. The record is from RNAcentral.